Molecule: ribosomal RNA, 301 nt
Filed under: uncultured bacterium
Lineage: Bacteria
Description: partial 16S ribosomal RNA
Rfam family: Bacterial small subunit ribosomal RNA
Source: RNAcentral
CAGCAGCCGCGGUAAAACGUAGGGCGCAAGCGUUAUCCGGAAUUAUUGGGCGUAAAGAGCUCGUAGGCGGUUUGUCGCGUCUGCCGUGAAAGUCCGGGGCUCAACCCCGGAUCUGCGGUGGGUACGGGCAGACUAGAGUGAUGUAGGGGAGACUGGAAUUCCUGGUGUAGCGGUGAAAUGCGCAGAUAUCAGGAGGAACACCGAUGGCGGAGGCAGGUCUCUGGGCAUUAACUGACGCUGAGGAGCGAAAGCAUGGGGAGCGAACAGGAUUAGAGACCCCAGUAGUCCCUGUCUCUUAUAU